GCUUAGCCCUGAUUGCAAUGACAUCCUUUUUGUUUUUCACAAAAAGAUAUAAUGAAAAGCAGGAAAACGC
RNAcentral lists this small RNA (70 nucleotides) under Lutibacter sp. Hel_I_33_5. RNAcentral describes it as "Flavo-1 RNA". It matches the Rfam family "Flavo-1 RNA". Lineage: Bacteria; Pseudomonadati; Bacteroidota; Flavobacteriia; Flavobacteriales; Flavobacteriaceae. The record is from Rfam by way of RNAcentral.